This 73-nucleotide transfer RNA is filed under the name Verrucomicrobiia bacterium. Its description in RNAcentral is "tRNA-Ala". It matches the Rfam family "tRNA". From Rfam's summary of the family: Transfer RNA (tRNA) molecules are approximately 80 nucleotides in length. RNAcentral also lists the same sequence under 6 other names. Lineage: Bacteria; Pseudomonadati; Verrucomicrobiota; Verrucomicrobiia. The record is from RNAcentral.
GGGGACGUAGCUCAGCUGGUAGAGCGCCUGCUUUGCAAGCAGGAUGUCAGGGGUUCGAGUCCCCUCGUCUCCA